UUUGUGUGAAAUAGUUCAUAGAUUUUUGUGUAUAUAUAUGUCAAGAGGUGCUCACAGAGGAACUUAUAUUGUACCUGGUAUGCCGCAGUAGCCGUGCCAAAUAAAAAACCUUCAGGGAAACUUGCCCGGCUUAGUUUGUUCGACGGCGGGCAAACAGGUCCAUCUGCAUUUGCUGGAGAGGCGACGAUGGUCAGGAGCAAAAGCAGCCCAAUGAGAGGAAGCUUUUGCAAAACCAUUUUUGUUUGUAAUUCUGAUUUUAUUCAAGAAAAAAUGUUU
RNAcentral lists this small RNA (276 nucleotides) under Arabidopsis thaliana (thale cress). RNAcentral's name for it is "ATSL134820". Lineage: Eukaryota; Viridiplantae; Streptophyta; Magnoliopsida; Brassicales; Brassicaceae. The record is from RNAcentral.